RNAcentral lists this transfer RNA (36 nucleotides) under Pachydactylus latirostris. Its description in RNAcentral is "Pachydactylus mariquensis latirostris partial tRNA-Ala". The record is from RNAcentral. Lineage: Eukaryota; Metazoa; Chordata; Lepidosauria; Squamata; Gekkonidae.
GCAUUCAGUUGAUGUAGAUUAGAGUUUUACAGGUCU